RNAcentral lists this ribosomal RNA (253 nucleotides) under uncultured bacterium. Its description in RNAcentral is "partial 16S ribosomal RNA". It matches the Rfam family "Bacterial small subunit ribosomal RNA", at positions 524 to 776 of the family's 1533-position model. The record is from RNAcentral.
UACGGAGGGGGCUAGCGUUGUUCGGAAUUACUGGGCGUAAAGCGCGCGUAGGCGGACCUGCAAGUCGGGGGUGAAAGCCCGAGGCUCAACCUCGGAACUGCCUUCGAUACUGCGGGUCUCGAGUCCGGGAGAGGUGAGUGGAAUUCCCAGUGUAGAGGUGAAAUUCGUAGAUAUUGGGAAGAACACCAGUGGCGAAGGCGGCUCACUGGCCCGUAACUGACGCUGAGGUGCGAAAGCGUGGGGAGCAAACAGG